Molecule: ribosomal RNA, 459 nt
Filed under: uncultured bacterium
Lineage: Bacteria
Description: bacterial SSU rRNA
Rfam family: Bacterial small subunit ribosomal RNA
Source: RNAcentral
ACGCUGGCGGCGUGCCUAACACAUGCAAGUCGAACGGAGUUGCCCUUCGGGACAACUUAGUGGCGAACGGGUGAGUAACGCGUGAGAAACCUGCCUUUCAGUGGGGGACAACAGUUGGAAACGACUGCUAAAUACCGCAUAACAUUAUUCGGGGGGCAUCCCCUGAAUAUCAAAGCUUUUAUGUGCUGAAAGAUGGUCUCGCGUCUGAUUAGCUAGAUGGCGGGGUAACGGCCCACCAUGGCGACGAUCAGUAGCCGGUCUGAGAGGAUGAACGGCCACAUUGGGACUGAGAUACGGCCCAGACUCCUACGGGAGGCAGCAGUGGGGAAUAUUGGGCAAUGGGGGAAACCCUGACCCAGCAACGCCGCGUGAAGGAAGAAGGCCUUCGGGUUGUAAACUUCUUUUAGUAGGGACGAAUACGUGACGGUACCUACAGAAAAAGCAACGGCUAACUACGUG